UUCAGGAGGUUACAAUCCACGAGAAACAGAAGGAAAGCUGGCAGUUAAGGAAAGGAGUAAGUGAAAUUGGAGAAGAUGUGGACUAUGAUGAGGAACUCUAUGUUGCUGGAAAUAUGGUGAUAUGGAGCAAAGGAAGUAAAAGCCAGGCAUUGGCAGUUUAUAAAGCAUUUACAGUUGACAGUCCUGUUCAGCAGGUAGCAAUGAAGUAGAAAAAUGCAUAUGUAUAUUGCAAAGCUCAUGUAUUAACAUGCAUAGCAUAGAAG
RNAcentral lists this long non-coding RNA (263 nucleotides) under Homo sapiens (human). Its description in RNAcentral is "HSALNT0035215". The record is from RNAcentral. Lineage: Eukaryota; Metazoa; Chordata; Mammalia; Primates; Hominidae.